Molecule: ribosomal RNA, 468 nt
Filed under: uncultured bacterium
Lineage: Bacteria
Description: partial 16S ribosomal RNA
Rfam family: Bacterial small subunit ribosomal RNA
Source: RNAcentral
GACGAACGCUGGCGGCGUGCUUAGCACAUGCAAGUCGAACGGAGAGGCCCUGCUUUUGUGGGGUGCUCGAGUGGCGAACGGGUGAGUAACACGUGAGUAACCUGCCCUUGACUUUGGGAUAACUUCAGGAAACUGGGGCUAAUACCGGAUAGGAGCUCCUGCUGCAUGGUGGGGGCUGGAAAGUUUCGGCGGUUGGGGAUGGACUCGCGGCUUAUCAGCUUGUUGGUGGGGUAGUGGCUUACCAAGGCUUUGACGGGUAGCCGGCCUGAGAGGGUGACCGGCCACAUUGGGACUGAGAUACGGCCCAGACUCCUACGGGAGGCAGCAGUGGGGAAUAUUGCACAAUGGGCGGAAGCCUGAUGCAGCAACGCCGCGUGCGGGAUGACGGCCUUCGGGUUGUAAACCGCUUUCGCCUGUGACGAAGCGUGAGUGACGGUAAUGGGUAAAGAAGCACCGGCUAACUACGUG